RNA transcript from Cucumis melo (muskmelon), 1616 nucleotides. It is a transcript of the gene named protein THYLAKOID ASSEMBLY 8-like, chloroplastic, with no coding region annotated. Lineage: Eukaryota; Viridiplantae; Streptophyta; Magnoliopsida; Cucurbitales; Cucurbitaceae. The record is from RefSeq and is a predicted model, not a curated record. The transcript has 4 exons.
UUCUCACGCCUAUUUUCCUUCUCCUCUUCCAACUCAUUGCGCCGCCGUCACUACCAACUCUCUCCACCGUUUUGUUUGCUCCUUCUCCUUCGUCUCCGUAUAUAUCUCUACGCCGCAGUCGUACGCCGGAAAUAUCCCCUUUCAUCCCUCUCUGCUUCAACUGCUCCGGCACUCGCGACUGCCCAACCUUUUUCUACUCGUCGCUCACUACCCACCGGAUUCUUCCGCCAAAGACGAAAACCGCACUCUAUCUUCAGCAGCCCCUCCCUCCUUCAGUCGCUCAGUUCGCAGGGAUAAGUCUUUGCCCAUCUUCAUUUUCUUUCUUCGAGUCACCAAUUUGUAAACAAGAUACCACCUGGUUCUGAUGCCUCUCAUAAAUUACAAAACCCUCUCUGCUCUCCUCCUCUCCUUCCUGAAGAAUCUCCUCAUUCCACUUUGAAUUCAGGUUGCAAUAAUCAGAUGGCAAUUCGGUGGUUUUCCAGGUCGAAAUUGCCCAUUUUUGCUUUGGUAUUCCUACGGGGUUUAACGAGGAGACCAAUUAGAGAUGUCCCAUUACCAGUUACAUCGACGAUUACUGGUUUUCAGCCGGAUUCGAGCCGACCCAUAUGGGGAUUCCGGCUAUAUCACGACGGGAGGCCUCGGGGACCCCUUUGGAGAAGCCGGAAAGCAAUUGGUAAAGAAGCACUUUUCGUUAUUCAGGGAUUGAAGAGAUUCAAGGAAGAUGAAGAGAAACUCGGAAAGUUCAUGAAGAGUCAUGUUUCAAGGCUCUUGAAAUUGGAUAUGCUUGCUGUGCUUGGUGAACUUGAGCGGCAGGAGGAGGUUGCUUUAGCUGUCAAGAUAUUUAGGUUGAUUCGGAAGCAAGACUGGUACAAGCCUGAUGUUUAUAUAUAUAAAGACUUGAUUAUUGCAUUAGCUAGAAGUAAAAAGAUGGAUGACGCAAUGAAAUUAUGGGAAAGCAUGAGAGAGGAAAAUUUAUUCCCCGACUCUCAAACGUAUACUGAAGUCAUCAGAGGUUUCUUGAGAUAUGGAUCUCCUUCUGAUGCAAUGAACGUAUAUGAGGAUAUGAAGAAGUCUCCAGAGCCACCAGACGAGUUGCCAUUUAGAAUUUUAUUGAAAGGCCUUUUGCCACACCCCCUUUUGAGAAACAGAGUAAAGCAAGACUUUGAGGAGCUCUUUCCUGACCAGCAUGUGUUCGAUCCCCCAGAAGAGAUAUUCAGCCUACGUUGAGGCUGGAGCCCUUGCUUGUAGCUUGGCGUGUAUUCUGCUGUUUAUUCAUGAUGAAAAGAUGAAAAGUGUGAAUUAACAUGACGGUUUGUCAACGAACAUUAUUCCGGUUUCUUGAUCUUAUCCCUGCUGAAUCUGAAAACAACCAAGUGUGUGAAGCUUGACGAUAUGAAGCUGCAAGGAGAUGGAGUUGUUAUUGAUAACAUUUCUCUGGAUCUAUGACGACUUGGGAUUCAGAGAAGGGAAGGAAACGGUGAAAAUACCAAAACUUGAAUCAAAUGUUGGUGUUCAUUUCUGUUUUUAGAGAGUGCAGUUUGUUGAGGGAUCAUUGCCCAGAAAUUUUCUAUUUAACCGACGAAUCUGAAUGCCACAAAGAAAUUCAUAUGUCUAAA